Molecule: non-coding RNA, 759 nt
Organism: Peromyscus maniculatus bairdii (prairie deer mouse)
Lineage: Eukaryota; Metazoa; Chordata; Mammalia; Rodentia; Cricetidae
Source: RefSeq, a predicted model, not a curated record
UACGGAAAACUAGCAGUGAAUCAUGGGACAAUACAAGCAGCCUGAAUCCACAGUUGACCUGCUGUUUGUUAAGGCUUGGCUAUAGACAUUAACAUGUAAUCACUAACUCCAAUUAACAUGCCCAUCACAUGGACAAGUAGGUUACAUAAACUACUCAUCACAACCCAGUCAGGUCAGUGAUUAUAAUUUUACUUUAUAGAUGGAGAAAUUGAAGUUUGGAGAUGUAACAGCAAUUUGUAUAUUUUCUACAGGCAAAAUAGGCACUAAGCAGAUCCUGGGCCCAGGAAAAUUCUCUCUGACUGAUUGCUACCAAGUACUGCAGAGACAUCAUCUGGCUAGAACCCAAAAGGAGAAGCUGGAAUCAAUUCUAGGCCCUGUGUUCAGGGUCCAUGUGAGACAACGCUGGACAUCCCUGAUCUGUUUAGGGGUUCUUUGGAAGAAUGCUUGAGCUAUUUUUGUCAUCUAAACAUUUACCUGAGAGGAAUCAGCACACCAUUGUCUCAAUGACAAAAGGAUGUGAACAUGGCGCUCCACGUGCAAUGUGAAUGUGUGUGCUAUUUCUUGUGUUUGGAAUUAAAUGAGUGUUUUUGAUUUUAAAAAAGAAAUCCUCAAGGAGGAAUCACUUGACUCAUAUCUACUCAUAUUUCCAGGGUGAAACAGACCAUCCUUCACCUGCACAGGGCUUCAUAGUUUCAAGUUGCAUAGCCAAUUCAAUGUGUGAGAUAAAUAGACAACCUUUGCCUACAACUUCUAGUUCAA